This 252-nucleotide ribosomal RNA is filed under the name uncultured bacterium. Its description in RNAcentral is "partial 16S ribosomal RNA". It matches the Rfam family "Bacterial small subunit ribosomal RNA", at positions 524 to 776 of the family's 1533-position model. The record is from RNAcentral.
UACGGGGGGGGCAAGCGUUGUCCGGAAUUAUUGGGCGUAAAGCGCGCGCAGGCGGUCAGUUAAGUUGGGUGUUUAAGCCCGGGGCUCAACCCUGGUACGCAUCCAAAACUGGUUGACUUGAGUGUAGGAGAGGAAAGUGGAAUUCCACGUGUAGCGGUGAAAUGCGUAGAGAUGUGGAGGAACACCAGUGGCGAAGGCGACUUUCUGGCCUAUAACUGACGCUGAGGCGCGACAGCAUGGGGAGCGAACGGG